This 312-nucleotide ribosomal RNA is filed under the name uncultured bacterium. Its description in RNAcentral is "bacterial SSU rRNA". It matches the Rfam family "Bacterial small subunit ribosomal RNA", at positions 774 to 1081 of the family's 1533-position model. The record is from RNAcentral.
AGUAAAUAGAUACCCAGGUAGUCCACGCUGUAAACGAUGAGUGCUGGACGUUGGCGGGUUUACCUGCCGGUGUCGCAGCUAAACGCGUUAAGCACUCCGCCUGGGGAGUACGGCCGCAAGGUUAAAACUCAAAGGAAUUGACGGGGGCCCGCACAAGCGGUGGAGCAUGUGGUUUAAUUCGACGCAACGCGCAGAACCUUACCAGCCCUUGACAUGGGCGGACGGGGUCCAGAGAUGGACUCUUUCUCGCAAGAGACCGCUACACAGGUGCUGCAUGGCUGUCGUCAGCUCGUGUCGUGACGAUGUUGGGUU